This is a non-coding RNA of Danio rerio (zebrafish), 117 nucleotides long. The record is from Rfam. NCBI's taxonomy places the organism in Eukaryota, Metazoa, Chordata, Actinopteri, Cypriniformes, Danionidae.
AAACACAGCCAUAUCACCCUGCAGCCGAAGACCGGUUACUCACUGAAGCUAAGGAGGGCUGAGCCUGGUUAGUACCUGGAUGGGAGACCACUAGGGAACACUAGGUUGCGGUUGGAA